AAGACAUCUCAUCAGGAUGAACUGGGGCAAGGCAGCCUCCAGAAACACACCUGGGUCUCUGGGCAGUCAUCUGCAGGCGAUUGCCUCCAGGUGUUUGCCAGUGGGAACCCAUUGAAAGUCGAUGCAAUUUAGAGCAAUUUCUCUGGCAGUGGAAAUUAACCUGCAGGAAUCUGCCGGCAACAGGUGUAUUUUAGGGCAGACAUACCAGCGUCCUGCACUGUGGAGACAGGACUUUGACUACCAGGUGUAGUGCAGAAGGCUGGAUAAUUGGAGGAGGCAGAAAAUUAGUGCAGAGAAGAUGGCCAAAUUGCAGGUCAGCAUGGUUUGGUGUAAUUAUUGGUUAACCCUCUCCUGUCUGUUAACCAAAAACUACUUGUGUGUUUGAGGAACCAGGAAAUCUGCACUGAAGGGACAAGAAUUAUCACUCCCUGCCCAAGCCAACUGAAUUUUUUGAUAGCUAAGGUUUUCAGCAAAUUGUUUUUGGUUUAGUGUUUGAUACUCAGACGAUUGCCAGGAAAACACAGGAAGAAGUGAAUUUUAAGUGCUUGAAAGCCUCCUGACUCAGAAACAAACCUAAUUUUACCUAGUGUGUUUGCCACUUUUUAUCUCUUUUGAAAAGACUUAUAGGGAGGAAUGUACAUAAUCAGGAAAGGGCAUCUAUGCUCUGUACCUCCGAUUCUCCUUGACAGAUGCAAAAAGCUAAUUGGUAUUAGCAAAUGUGCCCAUUGAAAGCAAGCAUAUUUUAGUAACACAAGUGUACACUGUAGUGAUGUUUCUGAGGUCAUCAGAGAAGAUUUGCCAGAGGCUUUCGCUUACCCAAGGGAAGUAAUGUUAAAGGGUCAUGUGUUUUUCUGAAGCAAAGUAUCGCUUUUACAGAGAAAUGGCUGCUACCUAGGGCCAGUGCCUUCACAGUUUGGUUAUGCUAAGUAGAAGAUACAGAUUUGUAAUGCCUAAAUUCUCACACUUCUAAUCCUACAGUCCAAUUAUUCUGGCAUUUGCUACAAUGUGCUCUGAAGAAAUGGAUUGGAAAUAAACAAAUAAAUAAAUAAAUAAAUAAUUCCACAGGAGGAAAAAAAUGCGUUCUGAAAGGAUCAGGAUUUUCAAAGCCCCCAAGCUUCAACAUAUCCGAGGAUCGAAGGCCUGAAUAAAGUGGCAUCACAGAAGUGUGAGAACAGCCUUUCCCCAUUCUCCGGAGUGGAUCCAUGAGCCAGGAGUCAGGCCUGCACUUUGAGGAGCGGAAGUGCUUUUGUGAGGACAAGCAAGAAUGUCUUGUAAUUUCAACUACCCUUAAAGCUGUUUCAGGGUUCCCUGAUAAUGAACUAACUGAUACUGGGACUUCCCUUCUCCAUCCCCCAAAGAAAAGCUGCGUUCCAACUCAACACCUCAUAGAACCAGAGCCCCCUAAUAUCCCUAGGUGUGGGCAGCUGGCAUUCCCCAACAUUCCCCUAACACCCAGCACCUAAGCUAAGAAUGCUUGGGGCCUGAACCCCAAAUGUUUAUUCAGCCAUGUAAAGCCACUUGCACACUUGUCCUAUAAAAAAGGAAAGCAACAGAAUGUUUUUCUCCUCUUGGAGCAGAGCCCCACAGUGAAUCUAGCAAUGCACUGGCUCAAACAUGCCCCCUUUUCAGCAGCAUGCUGAAAGAAAUAGGAUCCAUGCGUCAGCUGGAAUUUCUAUCUCUGAGUUUCUACCUAAACUAAGUGAUACUUUCUGUUAUUCCCAGUCACAUCAAAACAAAUGUGAGAUUCAAAUUUUAAACUGGGCUAUACUGUAACAAAUUAGACUUGACUCUUUUUGUUUUGUUUUGUUUAAAUAACAGAAAGUGACUAGAAAACUAUAGGAUCCACCUAAGAUGCUAAGACAUGGCAAAGUGAGACCAAACAUAGCACAACAAAUAGUUGGAGACAAAAUAAAAGCAUUUUACAUUUGUGCACUACAAUGUUCAGGCUAUUCAACACACUGAUUUCACACAUACAGUCCCAUUUAUUGCCAACAAUAACCCUGCAAAGUAGGUACUAUUAUUGGGCACAUUUUACAUAUAAAACGACUUAAAAUUAGAGGAGGUAGUAUAUAUUUUCCUAAUUUUUGGCAGCCCAGCAUCUAAAGCCCUUUUCUAUGCUUGAAGAAUGCCCUGCCUUAUGAGUGAGUCUUGCUGGAAAGAAGAGACCAGCUUCCAAUAUAAAAACUGAAAAUACCAAAUACUUUUCCCAUAUUCCCUGAUAACUAUCACACUGACAUUAGAAGAGUCUCCACCAACAGAUGUGAGCAUGCCAGUUUUCCCCAGAAUCUAAAGAUACAAAGAAAGAGGAUUUUUGUGGGAAACCACUCUGGUGAAAAUGCCAGUGGAAGUCCUACACUGAACCCGAUUUCCAGUGGCAAGAAUUUUAGUGGCUCCAGCAGCGAUGCCCAGUGCUCCGUGACUAUGGGUUCACAAUGUACACAAACUGGUUGGGCCACUGCAGAUGAAAGAGAUGGCUUCAAGUGCUCAGUUAUGUGUCUUGAUUGGUAAUGUGGCCAUUGGCUGGGUAAUGUCCACACUGCUUCUCUGGCCCUUUUGAAGUGUCUGUUAGCCAUAAUAACUAGAUUUAUUUUCUGAUUAAAUUAGCUAGAAUUAGGUUCUGACUGACUUAGGAUAAGUAAUUGCUCUCUGAUCACACAUAGAGCAAAUGAUGGAGCUGGAAUUCCAGUCUUCACUAGGUUAUACUGAAUGAUGAGAUAAUGUUAUGGGCUGAAUUCAUGUGUUGAAGUCCUCAUCUCCAGAACCUCAGAAUGUCUGUAUUUGGAGAAGAGUUUUUAAUGUUGUAAUUCAGUGAAAGUGAGGUCAGUAGGGUGGCUAUAAUUCAAUAUGACCUGAAUCCUUACGAGAAUGAAAAUCUGGACACAGAAAUCCGUGUGGGAGGCCAUGUGAAGACACGGAGAAAGCAUCCAUCUGUGAGCCAAAGAGAGAGGCCUCAGAAGAAACCACCCCUGCAGACACCUUGUAAUUGGACGUCUAGCCUUCAGAACUGUGAAACAGGAAAUUUCUGUUAUUUAAGCCACCCAGUCUAUGGUACUUUGUUAUGGCAGUCCUAAUAAACUAAUACCAGGAAUGAGGAAUACGAAAGAAUUCAAGAUGAUCUCAAAGUUGCUCAAUGAGGUGACUUUAGAAAAGAUGAAGGGUAUGAGAGGAGUAGCCAUUGCAGAAGGAGAACAAGAUCAUGAAUUCAAUUCAGAAAACUUUGAUUUUGAGACCUCUGCAGGAGAAAAUAAGAGAAAGCUUCAAAGGCCUAGCUUCCUUUAUAGAGUCCUGGGAGAGACCUAAAGUUGAGGAAUAGAGAGAAAAGGCACCUCUGGAUACUCACUGGCAUUGGAUCCAGCUCUGAGUUGCUUGCUUUCUGGGCUUCAGAAUGACAAAGCAGGUUUAUGCACAGAGUUUUUCAAUAAGCAAGUCCCCACUGAAGGUCACAGGCCUAUUUCAGCAGUGGGAGAAACCACAGUCAGCAGUAUUGGGCCAUGCAAGUGAAGGGUUGUUCACUGGAGAGGUUUGUUACCUUAUUGGGAAGAUGAAGUUUUCAUCCAGCAUUAAGCCUAUGGCUAUAAUUCAGGGAUGAGACAAGGGUGUUUGCAUUUGUUAGCAUGAAGACAAACAAAUCCAACACCCUUAGGUCAGAAUUUCAGCUUAACAUGGUAUCUUGUGCUUGAAUAUCCCUUGCAACCUCUCCUGACUUUCCACUUUCCAAAGUGAGUCUUUUAAAAUGCUCACGUUUUGGCUCACACCUGUAAUCCCAGCACUUUGGGAGGCCGAGGCGGGCGGAUCACGAGAUCAGGAGAUCAAGACCACGGUGAAACCCCGUCUCUACUAAAAUACAAAAAAUUAACCGGGCGUGGUGGUGGGCUCCUGUAGUCCCAGCUACUCGGGAGGCUGAGGCAGGAGAAUGACGUGAACCCCGAAGGCGGAGCUUGCAGUGAGCCGAGAUUUCGCCACUGCACUCCAGCCUGGGCGACACUGCGAGACUCCGUCUCAAAAAAAAAAAAAAAAAAAAAAAAAAAAAGGCCACGUUUAUUGGUCUUAUGCCUAUAAAAAAAGUCUAUGUGGACAACCACUCAUUGAUUCAAUAAAUAAUGCUUAAGUGCUUACUCUGUGCCAGGAUUCUGAAAGGCACUGUGGGUAAAUGGUAGGCAAAUCUAAACCUGGUCCUGCCUUCAGAGAGUCUACUGUUUGAACGGAAAAAGAAGAGAAUGAGGCCAAACAAGAGGUUGUUCACCUGAGGAAAUGGAUGGGAGCUGGGCAAGCCUACCUGGCAGAGGCUCACCUGGCUGAGUACCUAUGAAAUUGCCAUGGAUGAUCUCAAAAUUCAAAGAAAAGUCCAGUGCAUAUAAAUAAAAACCUUGAAAACACAAAUUCAUAGGCAAAAGGCUGAGAGGCCACAUAAAUUACUUUUAGUGAAAACAACAAAUAAUAUUAGUAUUAUUUCUGUUUCAGUAUUCAAGGCAGUGGUGAUGGGAACUUGAGGGCAUGAGAAUCAGGGCAAAGAGAAUUACUGAAAGAGUAAAACUAUCUUAAAGAUGUGAGGUUGGCCACUGAUGGAGAGGACAAGCAGGACAGGGAUCGGGGGACCAAAGUCCAGCUGCACUGACUCCAUUCAGCUCUGCUCUGUUCACCCUCAUCCCAAACCUGUCCCCAUCCCCAGACAAAUAGAAGCUGUGGACAAAGAUUGUUUUUGCCCUCCACAUCUCCAAUACUCUGUUUUCAAAUGACUGCAACCAACCCAACAAAAGAACUCACUUAACAUAUUAGUAGUAUCUUAAAUGAUGCAAUUUUAUCUUGUCCAUGAAAUAGCUUCAAUUAAAACAAAUUAUCUCUUUCCAUUCAUAGCUUAAUUCAUAUAGCACAUCUGAUAGAGCCUUUUUAAAUGCUCACUUUUAUUGGUCUUAUUUCAAAAUUAAUUCAUGUUUAUAGUCUAGCAUUUAGAAAAUUCCAAGGCAAAGCAGGCUACAUUUGUGUGUUUCCUCUUGGUGUCUCCAGUGCCCCAUGCCGCCACUGCACAGAGGACAUUAAGCAUUGAACACAGAGAACUAAACCACUUAAGGAACCACCCAUAAUCUCAAUACCAAUAGAUACUUACCCUCACUUUUUUGAUAUGUUUUUUCCAGUCACUUGUGUAUGUAAGCAUACAUACAAAAACAGGUGUGUGUGUGUGUGUAAAAAUGUGUGUUUACAGAGUUCGUUUUACAGGAAAGCACAAAGUCAGAUAGUUGUUAUCGGGCACCUAUGGGAAAUGUCAUAGGAGACUAAAGAUGAGACGAAAACUUUGGGACCACCACUCUUAAUCAUCCUAAUACUUGAUCUUUCCAUGGCUACCCUGAGAUAGAAUAAAUGGCUUUUGUAAAACAACUUAAACCUCAUCUCCUUAAUUGAGGUAUCCUGCUUUCUUACUCUUAUUUACGUGUCUAAGUCAGGGAGAAACAUCCCAUUAUGUCACAAAUAAGAUUAAAGGUAGUUGUAAUUAAAUUUCACCAUGUGCCCUGAGUUUUCCCACCUGAGAAUUAUAAGAAAAAAAUCAAAAGGUCUUCUCCUCUUACUAGACUACCCACCAAAUGGUCAUUACAUUUUCCUGUAGGCUGCAGAUAAAAUCUCUCUAUCAUAAGUCUCCCAAUCACCAAGUGAGAAAACACCACUCUGGGGUCCAGGGAUGUGUAGGCAAUUGAAGAGUUUCUCUUUUAAGAAUGGCAGCUCAUUAGGGUAAGUGUCCAAGAACAUAAUGAAAAAAUUGUGGUAUAUUUAUACUGGGGGAUAUGCCAGAUUAAAAAACGAACACAUUUGAGUUACAGAUAGCAACAUGGAUAAAUCUCUAAUGCAGAAUUUUAAUAAGAAAAAGGCAUAUUGCAGAAUUAUAGGUGCAGUAUAAUACCAUGUAUAUAAAGUUUAAACACAAAAACAUGCUAUAUAUCUUUUAUGGAUAUAUCCUUGUGCAGUAAAAAAUAUAAAAUAUGCAUAAGAAUGACAAAGACAAAUUUUAGAGGAUUUAUUCCCUUAGGGAGAAAAGGAAACGGCAUCACAAGGAUUACAAGAUUUGAAUUGAAUCUACAAUAUUUUAUUCCUUAAGCUGAGUAGCGGGUACAUGGGUGUUCAUAUACUCAAAACCAUUUUUGGCACAUGAAAUAUUUUAAAAUUUUUUAAAAAGCUAGAUAGUAUGAUUGACAUCUUCAGAUACUUGAAGAUCUGGCAUGUUGAUGAUGGAAAGUAUCCUAUGACUAAGUAGGUAAAGCUAUUAUGAAGGCAAAUUUUAGGUCAUUCUUAGGAAAAACCUAAAAGGGCUGUCUAAAAAUGAACAGUGUCUUCUACAUGAUUAAGGAGUAAAACAGAGUUAAGGUCUUCGGAGGUAGCAAGUCACAGUGCAAGUAGAGUUCACUUGUCUUUGUCUUGAAAGCAAAGAUUUCUUUUCUCUUGCAAAAUUCCCGGGACAUAUCCUGAUAAAGCUUUACAUCUCAGCAGCAUCACUCUGAUUGCUCUUUUUUCAGUUGGUGUCAUUGGAAGCCCCUAAACCCUAUUUAACUUCAGUGCCAUUGACUGGCACUUCCUGCCACUUACAUCUUUGCCAUUUGGCAGUGCCUGGGUUGGACAGAUCUGCCACCUGGUUCUGGUUCUGCAUUAUUGUCAUUCCUUGUGCCAGUCAUAAGGAUUCACUGGCACCCCUCUGAGAUUAGGAGUUCUCCAGGUCUGGAGAUAUUAAAAAAGAGAGAGAUGGUCAGCGAUGCUAUAGAAGGGAUUUUAGUAGUCUCUGGUAUGCUGGAGCACAUAACCUUUGAGUAUGGAUUUCCAUAUUCAUUUAUUCAAGAAAUGUUUAGUGAGUGUUUACUUUGUGCAAAGCACCUUGCUCGUUAAGCUUCUAUGGCUCUAGAAUUUGUCUUUGAAAAUGCGUCUCUAACUUUACAGAAAUGAAAAUUGAGACAUGAUGGGAAAACUUAUUUUAAGCAAACAAUAAGGCAGGCAGGCAGGCUGUGGUUUGCAGACCGACCACUUCUAGCCUUAUUGCCAAGAGCACUACGAGAGUCACAGGAACAUUUUGGAGAUAAUGUUACAUUCACAGACUUGUACAUGUCUUACAGUGAAAGACACCCCAGAGGUUAUCCAAUUCAAAUACUUCAUUUUACAGACGAGGAAACAAAAGCCUGGGGAGGUAUGUGGCUAACUGAUUGCAGAAUCUAUUCUCAGAUAUGGUAUUUCCUUCCCAACCUUGAAAGUUGUGUUCCUGAAAACCUCCAUGGAAGGAGAAAUUACACUUGAGGAACUUACGACCUUAGGAAGAAAAUAGAGUUUGGGGAGUAAGAUAGUGAGUGAAUCUGAGAAAGUUAUCAUCAUUGUUUUAUAUCUACUAAUAAAACAAUGUAGGUACCAUUGAUACCCACUUUAUUUUAUGCCGAACGCAUUUGUAAUGGUGAAUCUUGUACAGGUGAUUUUAUUUACUUCUUAGAAUUCCUUAUUAACACUUCUCUAGGCUCUCUAUACACAAUUUUUGUAAAACUUCUUGUGAGUCAUUGCCUUUUUGUGUAAAUACUGGUUACAAUGGAUUGUUUUCUGUUUCAGGUCCUGUUGUCUCUGCCUUUUUGCAUCUUUGACAUUAUCAUUGUAACUUAUAACUUCUAACCUCUACUCUGACUCAACUUGGUUGUUUCCUGAUUCCUCUCUCUCCUUCUUGCUGUUCCUUCUCUCUGCUGUCCUUUAACUGUAGCUGCUCACCAGGACUAUGCUGUAAACUUUCACCUCCUCUCACUGUUUACUCUACCUAUGUAACUAUCAUGUUUGAUAAUGAGGUCCUGCUGAAUAAGCCUGUUUGCUGUCUUUCCAGGCUGUGCUUUCCCACUCCUGCAGCUACUGCCUUAAUUCAGGUUAUCACUGUCUCUCACUAGGACCCCUGCACUAAUCUCCUUGAUUGGUCAAAGGUUUCAUUAUUUGCAUUGUGCUCUGAGUGAAAUUUUCUUAUGACGGCUUACAGUUCCCAGUGGCUGCAUGUGCCUAUAGAACACUAACUUCCUAAGCAUUUCAUCCAAGGCCCUCCACCUUAGCUCUUGUACCCUUUACUCCAGCCAUAUUUAUUGACCCUACUUGAUGGCCUAAUGUACCAGACUAUUUGGCAUCUUCAUGCCUUUGUGAACUGACUUUUCUUCAUCAGGAAUGCCCUUCACUCUGCCCCUCUCACGCUACCCAUUUCCCCUCCCACGUGCAAUCACCUGCCUGGUGAACAUCUACUCUUCCUCGAAAACUUUGCUCAUACCAUCACCUCUCCCUUGGAGGUACCACUUCCUACUCCUACUUUCUGCUCAUCUCGUACCUCAUUAAAGAGAAUAGGAGGUUCCCACCACAAAAUCUGAAAGCCUCCUGCCACAAAACCUGUCUUCUUCCCUCUGUGCAACUGAAUGUGACUCCUUGUAAUCAAAUGCUCAUCCCUCAAUUCAUGUUGGGAAUCCCAUCUCUCUCACUUUCUCAAGAAGUUCAAUGCUUCUGUCAGACUGUCUCCAGUCAAUUAUUCCCAUCAGCAUAUAAACAUAAUCCAGUAUUACUGUCCUAACCAAUACUCCAUAUUGAUCCACAUCCCUUUCCAGCUACCAUUCUUUUCUGUCUUUCACAAUAAAAUUCCAUAAAAUAGUUGUGUACACACAGCACUUUUAUGUUUUCACUUCACAGUCACUUUGGAAUUCACUUCAAAUUGGCAUUCACCCACAUGACCCAGUUGGUCACUAAUGACCUUUAUAGUGCUAUGUCCACAUUUUCAUCUCACUAGAACUUUCAGCAACAUCCAACAAUUGACCAUUCUCUUCUCAAAAUUGGCCAUUCUCUUCUUGAAAUUGUUCUUGGCUUACAUGAUUCCAUAUUUCCCUGGUCUUUUAUCUGCUUCUCUACCUGCUCCUCCUAAGCCUCUGUUGUGUCUUUUCUUCCACUUUCUAUAAUACCUCUAAGUAUUGAAUUUCCUCAGUAUUCUGCUCUGAACCCCAUGCCUUAUGUUUCCAUAAAUAAUCUCAUUCAUCCUCAUGGCUUAAAAUACCAAUUCCAAGCCAAUGACUCCUAUGUCUGUAUCUCUAGUCCUAACCUCUCCUCUGACCUCCUGACUUAUACUCUUGUCUUUAUAACACCCACUUAUGAAUGCUUCAUGGACAUCUCACAUAAAUAUAUCCAAGACUGCAUUUUUAUUUCCCUCUGAAAACCUAGUCCUCCUUCCAUCCUCCCCACCUCCCUUUUUUGGCAACAUUAUCCACGCUGUUGAUCAGGUCUGGAUCCUGGGAGUCACUAAUUAUUUCUCCCUGUAUUUCUUCCUCUAGUCCAAUUCGUCACUAAGUCUGAUCAUCUGUCUCCUAAAUGCAGCAUAAGGAGAUCCACUUUUCUUUAUCGUUACUGCCACAUUGUAGUUUGAUCUACUAUUAUUUUAAACUUAACAACCACAAUACCUUCAAACUGAUCUCCAUGCACACAGAACACAGUGACUCUCAUCCUUAAUUGAAUCUCUACACAGCCACAGAAACAGUCUUUCUUGAAACAUAAAUCCCAGCAUGACACUGCCUGACAUGCAAUCUCUCUUUGCACUUUGUCUUAGUCCAGGUACAUCAGUGUUGCUAUAAGUCCUGUUGGUCAGCCUCCUGCCCCGUACCCUAAGCUCAUCUUACAUCAGCGAGUCCUCACUCUCCACUCUCUAGACUGACUCCUGAUGUUUUCUCAAGCAAGUUGAUUUCUUUCUCAUCUUAAUCCUUCACAGGUGGUACAUAGUGCUUCCCGAGUUUAGAUCUCCACUCUCCCUUAUGUUCUCAUAAAGGAUUCAUAUGUCCUUUAGGUCUUGGCUUAAAUGCCAUCUAUUCAGAGAAGCCUUCCCUGGCGACCUUAUCUGAGUCAAUCUUCCAUUGUUAUAUUGUUAUAUUGAUUUGCUUUGUUUCUUGCUACUUCUUCUACUUGACUCGGUAGAAGGCUCUGCAUAAUUGACCAAAAUAUAUACAGUGUUUUUCAGAGUGCUAGUCACCUAUUAGUACUGAAGAAUUAUUUGUUGAAUAACUUAAUGAUUUUUUUGCAGUUACACGAGUGUUGUUUUGAUUGACUGAAAAUAGAUUGCCUAAGAUGACAUGAAAGAUCAAAGGUGAAGAGUGGAAGAUAGCACCACUUUGGGUUAAAAGUUUACUUAAGUCAGCAACUCCUCAAGAAACAGCUACCAGCAUUCCUGGGACUAUUAUGCCCUGGUCUACUUGUAGCCUGUUUGUAUUCCAGCCUACUUUGGCACCUUGCCGUCUCUGCUUACCGACUUUCUGCAUAAGAGUGAAAUAGAAAGUGACUUGGAACCAUGUAUACCUAAAGUGUGACAUUUAAAAAAACGUCCUCAGAAAAACUAAUAUCCUGGUUAUUUUUGAAUGUGCUAAGAGACUCUUUUUUUUAAUCUUGUUUUUUUAUUUUGAAUAUAGAGCACAUUGAGGUUUAAAAUGGAAAAUUCUAUUAAAAAUAAAAGGCAUACGUUUACAUAUCUUACAAUUACCUCUGCUUCUGUCCCUCCCAUUCCUUAUGAG
RNAcentral lists this long non-coding RNA (10520 nucleotides) under Homo sapiens (human). RNAcentral's name for it is "HSALNT0011181". Lineage: Eukaryota; Metazoa; Chordata; Mammalia; Primates; Hominidae. The record is from RNAcentral.